RNAcentral lists this ribosomal RNA (301 nucleotides) under uncultured bacterium. Its description in RNAcentral is "partial 16S ribosomal RNA". It matches the Rfam family "Bacterial small subunit ribosomal RNA", at positions 509 to 807 of the family's 1533-position model. The record is from RNAcentral.
CAGCCGCCACGGUAAUACGUAGGGUGCGAGCGUUAAUCGGAAUUACUGGGCGUAAAGCGUGCGCAGGCGGUUGUGUAAGACAGGUGUGAAAUCCCCGGGCUUAACCUGGGAACUGCGCUUGUGACUGCACAGCUAGAGUAUGGCAGAGGGGGGUGGAAUUCCACGUGUAGCAGUGAAAUGCGUAGAUAUGCGGAGGAACACCGAUGGCGAAGGCAGCCCCCUGGGCCAACACUGACGCUCAUGCACGAAAGCGUGGGGAGCAAACAGGAUUAGAGACCCCUGUAGUCCCUGUCUCUUAUAC